Molecule: ribosomal RNA, 305 nt
Filed under: uncultured bacterium
Lineage: Bacteria
Description: partial 16S ribosomal RNA
Rfam family: Bacterial small subunit ribosomal RNA
Source: RNAcentral
ACAGCAGUAGCCGCGGGAAUACGUAGGUGGCAAGCGUUGUCCGGAAUUAUUGGGCGUAAAGCGCGCGCAGGCGGAUAGGUCAGUCUGUCUUAAAAGUUCGGGGCUUAACCCCGUGAUGGGAUGGAAACUGCCAAUCUAGAGUAUCGGAGAGGAAAGUGGAAUUCCUAGUGUAGCGGUGAAAUGCGUAGAUAUUAGGAAGAACACCAGUGGCGAAGGCGACUUUCUGGACGAAAACUGACGCUGGGGCGCGAAAGCCAGGGGAGCGAACGGGAUUAGAGACCCCAGUAGUCCCUGUCCUUAUACAC